Pseudophryne corroboree (corroboree frog) is the source of this 251-nucleotide long non-coding RNA. RefSeq lists it as uncharacterized. NCBI's taxonomy places the organism in Eukaryota, Metazoa, Chordata, Amphibia, Anura, Myobatrachidae. The record is from RefSeq and is a predicted model, not a curated record. The transcript is spliced from 3 exons.
ACUCACUGACACAUGAGACACAUUGAGCAGAAGAUCCUGGAACUCACCAACAAGAUCAUUCAGCUGCUGACUGGAGAGGAGGGGGAGUAUAUAGAGGAACACAGGGGUCUGUACAAGGACGUGAUGAUGGAGAAUCACCGGCCCCUCACAUCACUGGAUGGGCCCAGUAACAGAGAUACCCCAGAGAGAUGUCCCCGUCCUCUGUAUUCCCAGGAUUGUACAGAGGAGAAUCACAGGAUCCCACAGGAGGA